RNAcentral lists this transfer RNA (71 nucleotides) under Hirsutella vermicola. RNAcentral describes it as "tRNA-Gly". It matches the Rfam family "tRNA". Rfam says of the family: Transfer RNA (tRNA) molecules are approximately 80 nucleotides in length. Their secondary structure includes four short double-helical elements and three loops (D, anti-codon, and T loops). Lineage: Eukaryota; Fungi; Ascomycota; Sordariomycetes; Hypocreales; Ophiocordycipitaceae. The record is from RNAcentral.
GUGGCUAUAAGUUAAUGGUAGACUGGUUGUUUUCCAUUCAAAGUGUGUCAGUUCGAGUCUGACUAGCUAUA